CGGACCAAGAGACCGGCGCACGGGUGCGUAACGCGUAUGCAAUCUACCUUUUGCAGAGGGAUAGCCCAGAGAAAAUUUGGAUUAAUACCUCAUAGUAUAGUACUUUGGCAUCAAGGAACUAUUAAAGUCACAACGGCAAAAGAUGAGCAUGCGUCCCAUUAGCUAGUUGGUAAGGUAACGGCUUACCAAGGCUACGAUGGGUAGGGGUCCUGAGAGGGAGAUCCCCCACACUGGUACUGAGACACGGACCAGACUCCUACGGGAGGCAGCAGUGAGGAAUAUUGGACAAUGGGCGCAAGCCUGAUCCAGCCAUGCCGCGUGCAGGAUGACGGUCCUAUGGAUUGUAAACUGCUUUUAUACAGGAAGAAACACUCCGACGUGUCGGAGCUUGACGGUACUGUAAGAAUAAGGAUCGGCUAACUCCGUG
Molecule: ribosomal RNA, 427 nt
Filed under: uncultured bacterium
Lineage: Bacteria
Description: bacterial SSU rRNA
Rfam family: Bacterial small subunit ribosomal RNA
Source: RNAcentral